Molecule: ribosomal RNA, 1837 nt
Filed under: metagenomes
Description: bacterial LSU rRNA
Rfam family: Bacterial large subunit ribosomal RNA
Source: RNAcentral
UUGAGCGCGAUAAGAGCGUUCGGUGGAUGCCUUGGCGCCAAGAGGCGAUGAAGGACGUGGCACGCUGCGAUAAGCUGCGGGGAGAUGCGAGCGAUCGUUGAUCCGCGGAUUUCCGAAUGGGGAAACCCACCCGUGAGGGUAUCUGCACCUGAAUACAUAGGGUGUGGAGGCGAACCCGGGGAACUGAAACAUCUCAGUACCUGGAGGAAAAGACAUCAACAGAGAUUCCGCUAGUAGUGGCGAGCGAACGCGGAACAGGCCAGUGCCUUUAUGUGUCUAAGUUGAGCGGUCUGGAAAGGCCGGCCAAAGUGGGUGAUAGCCCCGUAGACGUGUUGACACAUAGGGGACUUGAGUAGGGCGGGGCACGAGAAACCCUGUCUGAACAUGGGGGGACCACCCUCCAAGCCUAAAUACUCCUUGGCGACCGAUAGUGCACAAGUACCGUGAGGGAAAGGUGAAAAGCACCCCGACGAGGGGAGUGAAAGAGACCUGAAACCGAGCGCUUACAAGCAGUCGGAGCACCCAUGUGGUGUGACGGCGUACCUUUUGUAUAAUGGGUCCGCGAGUUCGUGUUGGCAGCAAGCUUAAGCCGUAAGGUGUAGGCGCAGCGAAAGCGAGUCUGAACAGGGCGUUCAGUUGCCGGCAUGAGACCCGAAACCGAGUGAUCUAGCCAUGGCCAGGCUGAAGGUGCGGUAACACGCACUGGAGGGCCGAACCCACGCCUGUUGAAAAAGUCGGGGAUGAGCUGUGGCUAGGGGUGAAAGGCCAAUCAAACUCGGAAAUAGCUGGUUCUCCGCGAAAUCUAUUGAGGUAGAUCCUCGCCUGAACACCACUGGAGGUAGAGCACCGGAAGGGCUAGGGGGGCCCAAAGCCCUACCAAACCCUACCGAACUCCGAAUGCCGGUGAGUGCUAGGCGGGAGACAGACUGUGGGUGCUAAGGUCCAUAGUCGAGAGGGAAACAGCCCAGACCACCAGCUAAGGUCCCCAAAUAGUGGCUAAGUGGGAAAGCAUGUGGGACGGCCAAAACAACCAGGAGGUUGGCUUAGAAGCAGCCAUCCUUUAAAGAAAGCGUAAUAGCUCACUGGUCUAGAUAAGCUGUCCUGCGGCGAAAAUGUAACGGGGCUCAAGCCACUUACCGAAGCUGUGGAUGCACGAAAGUGCGUGGUAGCGGAGCGUUCCCUAAGCCUGUGAAGCGGUACCUGUGAGGGGUCGUGGAGGUAUGGGAAGUGCGAAUGCGGACAUGAGUAGCGACAAAGAGGGUGAGAAACCCUCUCGCCGUAAGUCCAAGGGUUCCUGCGCAAGGCUAAUCCGCGCAGGGUGAGCCGGCCCCUAAGGCGAGAGCGACAGCUGUAGCCGAUGGGAAUCAGGUGAAUAUUCCUGAGCUCGUCAGAAGUGACGGCCCUGAAUUUCCGUUUUCCCUUAUUGGAUUGGGGAGGCGGCUGGAUGGGUCCGGGAAAUAGCUCUGACAUUGAACCGUACCCUAAACCGACACAGGUGGACUGGUAGAGUAUACCAAGGCGCUUGAGAGAACCACAUUUAAGGAACUCGGCAAAAUGCCUCCGUAAGUUCGCGAGAAGGAGGCCCUGUUCGUACGCAAGUAUGGGCAGGGGGCACAAACUAGGGGGUGGCGACUGUUUACUUAAAACACAGGGCUCUGCGAAGCCGCAAGGCGACGUAUAGGGUCUGACGCCUGCCCGGUGCUGGAAGGUUAAAAGGAGGGGUGCAAGCUCUGAAUUGAAGCCCCAGUAAACGGCGGCCGUAACUAUAACGGUCCUAAGGUAGCGAAAUUCCUUGUCGGGUAAGUUCCGACCUGCACGAAUGGCGUAACGACUUCCC